CUGGCUUGUGGGCCUGGUGCAAGUCUCCCCGCUCUCUGUCCUGGCUGUGAUUUAUGAUUCUCCUCCCUGCAAGAUGGUCCCCCCUCAUCUUCCCCAAAAUAUGGUUUUUUGAGACAAGGUCUCACUACGCAGCCCAGGCUGGCUCGAACUUGCAGUGAUGCUCCUGCCUCGGCCUCCCAGGUGCUGUGAUGACAGGUGUGCGACACUACGCCCUGCUGAGAACCACCUUCUUCACAGCCUUGCCCAGCAGCAGCUGUGCAGUGACCGCCUCUGGCCCUGCCCCCACUCACAUUUCACGGUGAUCUGAGCCACUGCCUCAAUGACACCCAGGCUGGACAUGGCCACGCACGUGUAGUUGGCUGAGUCCUUGACAUCCGUGAGCUCCAGCACGUUGCGGCCCACGGGCAUGUCGUCCUCGGGGCUUGCUUGCUUCUAAGGAUGUGGGGCGGGAAGAGAGCUGGUUGGCCACGAGUAUGAGGCAUCUGUGCCCCUCAGGACUAUGGAGCUCAGGCCCUGGGCGUCCUCCCAGCUGGGAAGCCUGGACGGCCGACACUGUGUUCUGCCCGGUUUGGUGCUGGUACCCGCCCACGUCAUCUUUCCACCCCUGGCUGCAAGCUUGAGGUGCAGGUUAGAAAAUAAGAACUCCGCAGCUCUGAUGCGUGGGGAACUCCGAAAGUGACCGUGCUGCGCUGCUGGACAGCAGACACCUGUGACUGGGCCCAGAGCCUGAGCGAGGGAAAGGGGGAGCAGCUAACGCCGCCUGGGAGGUGGAGGCACAGUGCUCCGGGCUUCACAGCCGGCCAAGUAUUUCUUCCAAAGUCUGUCCCGCCGCACAUGCGGGUGGGCAGCCCCGGACCUGUGCCCAGCCGGGAUGCACGAAGCCACCACACCAGCUGGCAUUUGGAACGCGAUGUGCCAAGCACACAGAGUCUCAGGAGGACGGAGUUGUUACUGCUCUCUCCCGACUUCUCCAUUUGCCACUAUCCUUACUGGACAUGUUGCAGACUGAAUGAGGACCCUGACUCUUGGGGGCUCCUCAGCUUUACUUAGCAAACCUGGUUUUUGGUUUGUUUUGCUGACUUGGGUGGUGGGACAGCCUCACACUGAGGCUAAGAGGAGGAGAAAACACCUGCUUAUGUUCCCUCCCGCACUGCUGCCCAGGAGAGAAUAAAGGAAAAGGGGGGCUGCCUAGGAGGUCAGGCAAAUUGGGGUGCUCUCCCCACAUACCCCACCCAGGCUCUGACCUCCCACCGCCCACCUGUCAUGAUGCCCCACACGGUCACUUUCUGGCCCAGCAUCCCAGCUGUGGGAAGCCCUUUCUGCCCUCCCAUGAGAGUCGGGACAGGAACACUGGCUUUUACAUCACAAUGCGUUUGGAGAACAACCACAGAACAGCUCAGCCCAAGAAACCAAAACCAAAACAGCACAGAAACAAAACAGAACCAAAGACAAUCGCUUUGGGGGAGAAGGGAGAGGGGGACCGGGUGAAGAGGGAGGGAAGGGGGAAAAAAAACGAACCAAUCCCCCCCCCAUCAAAAGAAACAAAACUUGAAAGAAAGAAAGAAAAAAAAGGGGAAAAAACAAAAGAGAAAAACAGAACAGGAGACAAGAAACACUCCAACAGAAGACUUUGGGGAUUCACCAAACCAAACCGACAAAGAGUGGCAUGCAGAGAAAUUUGUACAUUCUCCCAGCAUGCAUCAGGCCCAAGUUACCAUGGCGACGAGUGCAAAAAACUUAGCAACAACAUUACCAACAGAUGCAGAGCAACCAUAAUGCAAGCAUCGCAUGUGUGCGGCCGGCCCUGGGCCGGGCUGGGCGCGGCUGAGAUUUUUGUGUCUUUCUAGGUUUUGCUCUCGCUUGGUGGUUUUUAUUUAUUUUGUUUGCUUUGUGCUUAUCAUUCAUAUUACAUUUUUCAGUUCAUUUUUCUGUUUUUUCCGUGUGCGUGUCUGCGGGUGUCUGUGUGGUGUCUAUGUGUGCUUUGUGUCUGUGCGUGUCAUCGUUGCAGAAUGUAAAAAUGUGGGUAAAGAAAGUAAAAAAGAAAAAAACACACCAACCUUCUCGAAGCUCUGAGGGAUGUAAAGGGGGUUUGAUGCGCAACACAAUGACAUGGGGAGAAGAGAAAAAAUAGGGGAAAUACAGAGAGUAAAAAGAGGACUUCCCAAGGCUAAAAGCUGCAAUAGUUUUUUUUUUCUUUAAACCAAAAAAAAAACUUAAAAUUAAAAAAGAAAAAGAACAGUAAUGACUUUUUUUCUCCUCUUUCCUCUUCUUUUUGCUCUCGACAUACAAGAUUUACAUUUGCCUUUCUCAAUUCUCUUUCUAAAUUCAACUUCGCAGCAUCUGUCAGACCCAGGCAAAGACAGGGUGCCGGACCUGUCCCCAGAAGGGAGGAGGCUCGGGCUGGGGACACGGAAGGACCCCUGCCUUUUCGAGCCCUGGCUAAAUGCCCACCCCCUCCCUGCCCCACACCUCCAUCCCCUCUCCUUUCUCUCUCUCUCUCUCUCUCUCUCUCUCUCUCUCUCUCUCUCUCUCUCUCUCCUCAGGCCCUGUUUAACUCACAAACCCCCAUCCCAGGAGGCAGCAGAGAAACAAGGUUAGAUGAAGACCAGUCAGUUGGAGUCACGGACGCAUUACAACUCACCGGAGUGCCGCAGGUGGACCGGACGUGCCCCCCGCCCACCCUCACGCCCACGCCCACAUCCC
Long non-coding RNA from Heterocephalus glaber (naked mole-rat), 2703 nucleotides. NCBI's taxonomy places the organism in Eukaryota, Metazoa, Chordata, Mammalia, Rodentia, Bathyergidae. The record is from Ensembl.